UACGGGGGGGGCAAGCGUUGUUCGGAAUUAUUGGGCGUAAAGCGCGCGCAGGCGGUCCUUUAAGUCUGAUGUGAAAGCCCACGGCUCAACCGUGGAGGGUCAUUGGAAACUGGGGGACUUGAGUACAGAAGAGAAGAGUGGAAUUCCACGUGUAGCGGUGAAAUGCGUAGAGAUGUGGAGGAACACCAGUGGCGAAGGCGACUCUUUGGUCUGUAACUGACGCUGAGGCGCGAAAGCGUGGGGAGCAAACAGG
RNAcentral lists this ribosomal RNA (253 nucleotides) under uncultured bacterium. RNAcentral's name for it is "partial 16S ribosomal RNA". It matches the Rfam family "Bacterial small subunit ribosomal RNA", at positions 524 to 776 of the family's 1533-position model. The record is from RNAcentral.